GGUUGGCCGCCUAGGGUGCAAGAACCUGAACUAAAGCUGAGAAGAGACUUUCUGGAAGGAAAAGUGGCAAAGCCAGGAAUUUCAGUCGUUAUAAACAGCGUAGUUUAACUGUUGUCGGGCCUGGGAAAGUUUUGCCCAUCUCAUUAAAGGUUGACCAAGAUUCAUUAUUCAGAUCACAUCUCAAAGACAUCCUUCAAAGGUUUUCCUGGUUCCUCAAUUAAAUCUCUCAGAGGACACUUACUCUGGACCAAAAGAGAUGGAGGAGAAAGCAUCCUCCAUGGGAUAUAGUGAUACUGCAGUUCCUU
Tupaia belangeri chinensis (Chinese tree shrew) is the source of this 305-nucleotide long non-coding RNA. RefSeq lists it as uncharacterized. NCBI's taxonomy places the organism in Eukaryota, Metazoa, Chordata, Mammalia, Scandentia, Tupaiidae. The record is from RefSeq and is a predicted model, not a curated record. The transcript is spliced from 3 exons.